GUCCUCACUUCAGCAGCAUAUAUACUAAAAUUGGAACAAUACAGAGAAGAUAAGCAUGGCCCCUGCGCAAGGAUGACACACAAAUUCGUGAAGCGUCCCAUAUUUUU
Molecule: small nuclear RNA, 107 nt
Filed under: Neogale vison (American mink)
Lineage: Eukaryota; Metazoa; Chordata; Mammalia; Carnivora; Mustelidae
Source: RNAcentral